Molecule: ribosomal RNA, 116 nt
Filed under: Nanobdellati archaeon
Lineage: Archaea; Nanobdellati
Source: RNAcentral
UCAGACGGCCAUAGGGGCCUGGCUCUACCCGAUCCCAUUUCGCACUCGGAAGUCAAGCAGGUCUCCGUUCCGUGCAGUACUGUUCUCUGAACGGGAGACACGGAAAGCUGUCACCC